The sequence is a small RNA, 83 nucleotides long. It matches the Rfam family "Flavo-1 RNA".
UCCUAGCCCCGAUUGAAGCUUUGUUUGAGCUCUUUUUUGUUUUUUUCAAACAAAAAAAGCGAGUGCGGAAAGCGGGAAAUAGC